GACGAACGCUGGCGGCGUGCUUAACACAUGCAAGUCGAACGGAAAGGCCCUUCGGGGUACUCGAGUGGCGAACGGGUGAGUAACACGUGGGUGAUCUGCCCUGCACUUUGGGAUAAGCCUGGGAAACUGGGUCUAAUACCGAAUAGGACCACGCGCUUCAUGGUGUGUGGUGGAAAGCUUUUGCGGUGUGGGAUGGGCCCGCGGCCUAUCAGCUUGUUGGUGGGGUAAUGGCCUACCAAGGCGACGACGGGUAGCCGGCCUGAGAGGGUGACCGGCCACACUGGGACUGAGAUACGGCCCAGACUCCUACGGGAGGCAGCAGUGGGGAAUAUUGCACAAUGGGCGCAAGCCUGAUGCAGCGACGCCGCGUGGAUG
RNAcentral lists this ribosomal RNA (375 nucleotides) under uncultured bacterium. RNAcentral's name for it is "bacterial SSU rRNA". It matches the Rfam family "Bacterial small subunit ribosomal RNA", at positions 28 to 407 of the family's 1533-position model. The record is from RNAcentral.